This 142-nucleotide unclassified non-coding RNA is filed under the name uncultured Ascomycota. RNAcentral's name for it is "sequence contains ITS1". Lineage: Eukaryota; Fungi; Ascomycota. The record is from RNAcentral.
UCGUGGGGUUUCGGCCCCUUCGAGAGAGAACCCUUGCCUUUUCGAGCACCUGUAUGUUUCCUCGGCAGGUGUGCCUGCCAAUGGGGACCCGUUCUGAACUCUUGCAACAACCUGUAUGAAGUCUGAAAACAAAAUAAAAUCA